UCUUUAUAAGAAAAAAGUAGUAAUAAAAUACCAAACUAUUAUAUAUUGGCGGUCAUAUCCUAUCUAGAGAAACUCGCUUAAUAAUCGACAAUACCCGAUAAUUUUCACUUAAAUAACAAACUCAUAUACCGCCGUUACAGUACUAUAUAAUAAAUAAUACUACAAAUUUAUAAAUUGAAUAUUAAUACAAAAUCAGGUCAAGGUGUGGUAACAUUUAAGAUAAAGUAAGUUACACUAACAUAAAAGUUAAGAAAGUCCAUUUAACUCUUAAAAAACAGAAAGAGAAUCUAUAGGUAAAUAUUAAAUUAAAAUUUUAUAUCGAACAAACUAUGAUAAGACGC
Molecule: ribosomal RNA, 341 nt
Filed under: Aetana sp. Ind114
Lineage: Eukaryota; Metazoa; Arthropoda; Arachnida; Araneae; Pholcidae
Description: partial 12S ribosomal RNA
Source: RNAcentral